RNAcentral lists this ribosomal RNA (230 nucleotides) under uncultured bacterium. RNAcentral describes it as "partial 16S ribosomal RNA". It matches the Rfam family "Bacterial small subunit ribosomal RNA", at positions 562 to 791 of the family's 1533-position model. The record is from RNAcentral.
AAAGCGUGCGCAGGCGGUUUUGUAAGUCUGUCGUGAAAUCCCCGGGCUCAACCUGGGAAUGGCGAUGGAGACUGCAAGGCUAGAGUUUGGCAGAGGGGGGUAGAAUUCCACGUGUAGCAGUGAAAUGCGUAGAGAUGUGGAGGAACACCGAUGGCGAAGGCAGCCCCCUGGGUCAAAACUGACGCUCAUGCACGAAAGCGUGGGGAGCAAACAGGAUUAGAUACCCCAGU